UACGAAGGGGGCUAGCUUUGUUCGGAAUUACUGGGCGUAAAGGGCGCGUAGGCUGUGCUGUAAGUCAGGCGUGAAAGCCCCGGGCUCAACCUGGGAAUUGCGCUUGAUACUGCGGCGCUGGAAGGUGGGAGAGGAUGGCGGAAUUCCCAGUGUAGAGGUGAAAUUCGUAGAUAUUGGGAAGAACACCGGUGGCGAAGGCGGCCAUCUGGCCCACAUUUGACGCUGAGGCGCGAAAGCGUGGGGAGCAAACAG
This 252-nucleotide ribosomal RNA is filed under the name uncultured bacterium. Its description in RNAcentral is "partial 16S ribosomal RNA". It matches the Rfam family "Bacterial small subunit ribosomal RNA", at positions 524 to 775 of the family's 1533-position model. The record is from RNAcentral.